This 97-nucleotide ribosomal RNA is filed under the name uncultured bacterium. RNAcentral describes it as "partial 16S ribosomal RNA". The record is from RNAcentral.
CGGAUUGUAAAGCUCUGUUGAGUGGGAAGAAAAGUUUCAAGAAUAAUACCUUGAAAUCUGAUGGUACUACUUGAGGGAGCCCCGGCUAACUACGUGC